GCUCACUUCAGCCCCACAUGUACUAAGAUUGGAACGAGACAGAGAAGGUCAGCAUGACCCCUGCACAAGCAUCACAGGUAAAUCUGUGUUUUCCUAUCUCUAUCU
Small nuclear RNA from Cynocephalus volans (Philippine flying lemur), 105 nucleotides. The record is from RefSeq and is a predicted model, not a curated record. Lineage: Eukaryota; Metazoa; Chordata; Mammalia; Dermoptera; Cynocephalidae.